This 501-nucleotide ribosomal RNA is filed under the name uncultured bacterium. RNAcentral describes it as "partial 16S ribosomal RNA". It matches the Rfam family "Bacterial small subunit ribosomal RNA", at positions 30 to 523 of the family's 1533-position model. The record is from RNAcentral.
AUUGAACGCUGGCGGCAUGCCUUACACAUGCAAGUCGAACGGCAGCACGGGUGCUUGCACCUGGUGGCGAGUGGCGAACGGGUGAAUAAUACAUCGGAACGUACCUUAUCGUGGGGGAUAACGCAGCGAAAGCUGUGCUAAUACCGCAUAUGCCCUGAGGGGGAAAGCGGGGGAUCGAAAGACCUCGCGCGAUUAGAGCGGCCGAUGCCUGAUUAGCUUGUUGGUGGGGUAAAAGCCCACCAAGGCGACGAUCAGUAGCUGGUCUGAGAGGACGAUCAGCCAAACUGGAACUGAGACACGGCCCAGACUCCUACGGGAGGCAGCAGUGGGGAAUUUUGGACAAUGGGGGCAACCCUGAUCCAGCAAUGCCGCGUGAGUGAGGAAGGCCUUCGGGUUGUAAAGCUCUUUUGUCAGGGAAGAAACACCGGCUCUAACACAGUCCGGGAAUGACGGUACCUGAAGAAUAAGCACCGGCUAACUACGUGCCAGCCGCCGCGGUAA